This 600-nucleotide ribosomal RNA is filed under the name uncultured Alphaproteobacteria bacterium. RNAcentral describes it as "bacterial SSU rRNA". It matches the Rfam family "Bacterial small subunit ribosomal RNA", at positions 54 to 699 of the family's 1533-position model. The record is from RNAcentral. Lineage: Bacteria; Pseudomonadati; Pseudomonadota; Alphaproteobacteria.
CAUGCAAGUCGAACGCCCUCUUUUAGAGGGAGUGGCAGACGGGUGAGUAACGCGUGGGAAACUACCUAGUGGUACGGAACAACACAGAGAAAUUUGUGCUAAUACCGUAUGUGCCCUCCGGGGGAAAGAUUUAUCGCCAUUAGAUGUGCCCGCGUUUGAUUAGCUAGUUGGUGAGGUAAUGGCUCACCAAGGCGACGAUCAAUAGCUGGUCUGAGAGGAUGAUCAGCCACACUGGGACUGAGACACGGCCCAGACUCCUACGGGAGGCAGCAGUGGGGAAUAUUGGACAAUGGGCGCAAGCCUGAUCCAGCCAUGCCGCGUGUGUGAUGAAGGCCCUAGGGUUGUAAAGCACUUUCAACGGUGAAGAUAAUGACGGUAACCGUAGAAGAAGCUCCGGCUAACUUCGUGCCAGCAGCCGCGGUAAUACGAAGGGAGCUAGCGUUGUUCGGAAUUACUGGGCGUAAAGCGCACGUAGGCGGACUAAUUAGUCAGGGGUGAAAUCCCGGGGCUCAACCCCGGAACUGCCUUUGAUACUGUUAGUCUAGAGAUCGAGAGAGGUGAGUGGAAUUCCGAGUGUAGAGGUGAAAUUCGUAGAUAUUC